CGGAAUAUAGCGCAGUCCGGUAGCGCAUCUGCCUUGGGAGCAGAGGGCCGCAAGUUCGAAUCUUGUUAUUCCAACCA
Molecule: transfer RNA, 77 nt
Filed under: Fusobacterium necrophorum
Lineage: Bacteria; Fusobacteriati; Fusobacteriota; Fusobacteriia; Fusobacteriales; Fusobacteriaceae
Description: tRNA-Pro
Rfam family: tRNA
About the family: Transfer RNA (tRNA) molecules are approximately 80 nucleotides in length. Their secondary structure includes four short double-helical elements and three loops (D, anti-codon, and T loops).
Source: RNAcentral